Molecule: ribosomal RNA, 517 nt
Filed under: Fusarium redolens
Lineage: Eukaryota; Fungi; Ascomycota; Sordariomycetes; Hypocreales; Nectriaceae
Description: eukaryotic LSU rRNA
Rfam family: 5.8S ribosomal RNA (bases 153-306)
Source: RNAcentral
UUACCGAGUUUACAACUCCCAAACCCCUGUGAACAUACCUUACUGUUGCCUCGGCGGAUCAGCCCGCUCCCGGUAAAACGGGACGGCCCGCCAGAGGACCCCUAAACUCUGUUUCUAUAUGUAACUUCUGAGUAAAACCAUAAAUAAAUCAAAACUUUCAACAACGGAUCUCUUGGUUCUGGCAUCGAUGAAGAACGCAGCAAAAUGCGAUAAGUAAUGUGAAUUGCAGAAUUCAGUGAAUCAUCGAAUCUUUGAACGCACAUUGCGCCCGCCAGUAUUCUGGCGGGCAUGCCUGUUCGAGCGUCAUUUCAACCCUCAAGCCCUCGGGUUUGGUGUUGGGGAUCGGCGAGCCUUUCUGGCAAGCCGGCCCCGAAAUCUAGUGGCGGUCUCGCUGCAGCCUCCAUUGCGUAGUAGUAAAACCCUCGCAACUGGAACGCGGCGCGGCCAAGCCGUUAAACCCCCAACUUCUGAAUGUUGACCUCGGAUCAGGUAGGAAUACCCGCUGAACUUAAGCAUA